Molecule: transfer RNA, 77 nt
Filed under: Opitutaceae bacterium TAV1
Lineage: Bacteria; Pseudomonadati; Verrucomicrobiota; Opitutia; Opitutales; Opitutaceae
Description: tRNA-Pro
Rfam family: tRNA
About the family: Transfer RNA (tRNA) molecules are approximately 80 nucleotides in length. Their secondary structure includes four short double-helical elements and three loops (D, anti-codon, and T loops).
Source: RNAcentral
CGGGGUGUAGCUUAGCUUGGUAGAGCGCCUGCUUUGGGAGCAGGAGGUCGAGAGUUCGAAUCUCUCCACCCCGACCA